AGUGAACGCUGGCGGUAGGCCUAACACAUGCAAGUCGAACGGCAGCACAGUAAGAGCUUGCUCUUACGGGUGGCGAGUGGCGGACGGGUGAGGAAUACAUCGGAAUCUACUUUUUCGUGGGGGAUAACGUAGGGAAACUUACGCUAAUACCGCAUACGACCUACGGGUGAAAGCAGGGGAUCUUCGGACCUUGCGCGAUUGAAUGAGCCGAUGUCGGAUUAGCUAGUUGGCGGGGUAAAGGCCCACCAAGGCGACGAUCCGUAGCUGGUCUGAGAGGAUGAUCAGCCACACUGGAACGGAGACACGGUCCAGACUCCUACGGGAGGCAGCAGUGGGGAAUAUUGGACAAUGGGCGCAAGCCUGAUCCAGCCAUACCGCGUGGGUGAAGAAGGCCUUCGGGUUGUAAAGCCCUUUUGUUGGGAAAGAAAAGCAGCAGGUUAAUACCCCGCUGUUCUGACGGUACCCAAAGAAUAAGCACCGGCUAACGUCGUGC
RNAcentral lists this ribosomal RNA (493 nucleotides) under uncultured bacterium. RNAcentral describes it as "partial 16S ribosomal RNA". It matches the Rfam family "Bacterial small subunit ribosomal RNA", at positions 29 to 508 of the family's 1533-position model. The record is from RNAcentral.